Molecule: ribosomal RNA, 466 nt
Filed under: uncultured bacterium
Lineage: Bacteria
Description: bacterial SSU rRNA
Rfam family: Bacterial small subunit ribosomal RNA
Source: RNAcentral
GAUGAACGCUGGCGGCGUGCCUAAUACAUGCAAGUCGAACGGAGUAUAUUAGCAAUAGUGUACUUAGUGGCGAACGGGUGAGUAACGCGUUGGUGACCUGCCCCAAAGCGGGGGACAACAGCUCGAAAGAGCUGCUAAUACCCCAUGCAGUUACGAGGGAUUAGAAGCUGGUAACUAAAGGAGCAAUCCACUUUGGGAGGGGCCUGCGUCCCAUCAGCUAGUUGGUAGGGUAAAGGCCUACCAAGGCGUAGACGGGUAGGGGACCUGAGAGGGUGGCCCCCCACAAUGGAACUGAAACACGGUCCAUACACCUACGGGUGGCAGCAGUAGGGAAUAUUGCACCAUGGGCGAAAGCCUGAUGCAGCAACGCCGCGUGAGUGAAGAAGGCCUUCGGGUCGUAAAGCACUUUUUGAGAGGAUGAGGAAGGACGGUACGUCUCAGAAUAAGUCUCGGCUAACUACGUAGG